AAACUAAUAACGAGUGUUAACUCAUACAAUCAUCGACUCAAAUUGCUAUCCCUAUAAUAUGUAUUACCUUCAUCCUCCCACUAAUUACCCUUGCUCACCAAUUGUUCAACUCUGAAAAUUUCUACUUACAGGGCCUUGUGAGAGUAACUCUCAACUUUGUGGGACUCCAUUAGGGUGAUGGAGACGAAAAUUGGAUUGAAAUUCGGUGGUAUACAUAGGCAUCCACCAGGAUUUGUUGUGGGGUUUUGGGUUUAUUUUCAUUUCCUGGAUGAAGUGAAGGACAGAGUAUCUUUGCCUUGAAGAAGGCUUGUUUGCAAAGGAAGUUUGUUGGUGAAAGAUAAGAUGGUGAGACUGCUGCCAAUCGGUAAACGAUUUCGAUGUGCUUUGCAUUGAGACCGAGCGGAAAGCACUUCUUAAGUUCAAAGAAGGUCUCAAAGAUCCCUCAGGGCGGCUUUCUUCUUGGGUUGGCGAGGAUUGCUGUGGAUGGUCUGGCGUAGGUUGCAGCACACAGACAGGACAUGUCAUUAAGCUUGAAUUAUCAAGCUUGAGUGGUAAGGUAAACUAUUCUUUGCUUGACUUGAUGCAUUUGAAUUACCUGGAUCUAAGUUCAAGCAACUUCCAAGGAGUUCCUAUUCCCAAAUUCAUUGGUUCAUUGAGCGAGUUGAGUUAUCUUGAUCUUUCUAGUGCAUCGUUUUCAGGACUAGUUCCUCCCCAUCUUGGAAACUCGUCAAACCUGUAUUAUCUUAAUCUAAAUGCAAAUAAUAACACAUGGGUUUCUGAUCUGAAUUGGAUCACUGGACUCUCUCAUUUGCAGUACCUGAAUUUAGGAGAUGUCGACCUUAGUUUGGCAUCAACUACUUGGCUGCGAGCUGUCAAUAUGCUUCCAUCUCUUUCCCAGUUGUACUUGCAUCACUGUAAUUUACUUAACCUCCCUUCUGAUCUGCCAACAGCAAAUUUUAGUUCUGUUCAAGUCCUUAACCUCCAAAACAAUAAUCUCAACACUUCAAUUCCCCAGUGGUUGUUUAAUGUCACUAACCUUAUGGAGCUUAACCUCAUGAAUUGCCAAAUUAAAGGGUCUAUAGUUGGCAAUGGUUGGAGAAGACUUUGCAACUUGCAAGUUCUAGAUCUAUCUUAUAAUGAACUUAGUGGUGAGAUUUUUGAGUUGGUUGGGAACUUGUCAGAAUGUAGUAAUUGCAGCCUAGAGGAGCUAGAUCUGUGGUCUAAUCAACUAAGUGGACAGAUACCUGAGUCAUUGGGACUGUUUAAGUAUUUAAAACACCUGCUUCUGGGGCAGAAUUCUUUUUCAGGUUCAAUUCCAUUAACAUUGGGCAAUUAUCAAAUUUAGUUUCCCUGGACCUGUCUAGAAAUUCUUGGAAAGGUGUCUUGUCUGAAACUCAUUUCCUGGGCCUCAACAAGUUACAAAGUUUUCUAGUAUCUUCUAUGAGAAUGUCUCUGGCUAUCAAUUUAAGCAAUGAGUGGAUGCCUCCUUUUAACCUUAACAACAUCGAAAUCACUAAUUGUGAUGUAGGUUCUACAUUCCCCUUGUGGCUCAAAACUCAAACCAGUCUUUCCUUCCUUGUCCUAAAGAAUGCAUCACUUUCCGGCAAAAUUCUUGAUUGGCUUUGGCGAUUGUCUCCACAACUUAUCUCACUGGAUCUUUCCAGUAACCAAUUUGGAGGAGAAGUCCCCAGUUCCCUAGAGUUUGGGUCAGGAGCUUGGAUUGAUUUGAGUUCCAAUUACUUGGAGGGUUCACUUCCUAUUUGGUCUAAUGUGAGGGACCUGAAGUUAGAUAGUAAUAUGUUUUCUGGUCCAAUUCCUGUGAAACUAUGCAGAGAAAUGUCAUUAUUAAGAAACUUACUACUGUCUGGUAACAUAUUAAGUGGCAGUAUCCCACCAUGCAUAAGUACUCUAAAGAAUCUGAUGACCCUUGAUCUCUCAAGCAACCAUUUUUCUGGGAAUCUCGGCAUUCCAUGGGAAGAGAUGAGUGUGAGUGUCAUUGACCUGUCAAAGAACAAUCUAUCUGGAGAAAUUCCUCCUUCAAUGUGUUCAUCUCCCAACUUGAAGGUGUUGAAAUUGUUCAGAAACCGUCUUGCUGGAGAACUCUCUACUUCCUUGAAGAACUGCACAGGCCUGAACAUCCUUGAUCUUGGGGAAAAUACGUUUUAUGGAAACAUACCAGAGUGGAUUGGGGACAACAUAUCAACACUAGAAGCUUUAGGCCUAAGAGGCAACAUGUUUAGUGGAAAUAUUCCUGAACAGCUUUGUCAUCUUCCUUAUCUCCAUAUCUUGGAUCUUGCUCAUAAUAAUUGUUAUGGAAA
This 2318-nucleotide unclassified non-coding RNA is filed under the name Hevea brasiliensis (rubber tree). Lineage: Eukaryota; Viridiplantae; Streptophyta; Magnoliopsida; Malpighiales; Euphorbiaceae. The record is from RNAcentral.